RNAcentral lists this ribosomal RNA (497 nucleotides) under uncultured bacterium. RNAcentral describes it as "partial 16S ribosomal RNA". It matches the Rfam family "Bacterial small subunit ribosomal RNA", at positions 28 to 507 of the family's 1533-position model. The record is from RNAcentral.
GAUGAACGCUGGCGGCGUGCCUAAUACAUGCAAGUCGAGCGAACAGACGAGGAGCUUGCUCCUCUGACGUUAGCGGCGGACGGGUGAGUAAAACGUGGAUAACCUACCUAUAAGACUGGGAUAACUUCGGGAAAACGGAGCUAAUACCGGAUAAUAUAUUAAACCGCAUGGUUCAAUAGUGAAAGACGGUUUUGCUGUCACUUAUAGAUGGAUCCGCGCCGCAUUAGCUAGUUGGUGAGGUAACGGCUUACCAAGGCAACGAUGCGUAGCCGACCUGAGAGGCUGAUCGGCCACACUGGAACUGAGACACGGUCCAGACUCCUACGGGAGGCAGCAGUAGGGAAUCUUCCGCAAUGGGCGAAAGCUUGACGGAGCAACGCCGCGUGAGUGAUGAAGGCCUUCGGAUCGUAAAACUCUGUUAUUAGGGAAGAACAAAUAUGUAAGUAACUAUGCACGUCUUGACGGUACCUAAUCAGAAAGCCACGGCUAACUACGUG